UGUGGCACUCUCUUCUCAAGGUAAUUAAUUAAUCUUAAUCACUCUGUAUUCUUCUUCUUCUUCCCAUUAACGCUUCUCGAUAGUUGUCUUCUUCUACUCCUCCUUUGGUUUUAGCUAGCAUGACGCAGAUAUAAAUAAUUAUGAGAGGAGAGGCCUAGCUAUACUUACUCCAUUCGUAAAAAAGAGAGGACGAAUGGGGAAGGAAAAGAAGAGGCGUUAUGAGUAGUAGUUCUUGUGCUAUCUUGUUUUAAGGCUAAGAUUCCUCAAGUGACAGUAGAGAAAUAAAAGUUUUGAUUCCUCAUUUCUUUUUCGUUUUCUUCUGUUUUCUUGCAAAUGGGCAUUAUUAUUUUUUUCCUUGGGAAAAUUAUUUUUGGGUAUCUCAUAAUUGAAUUUUCACUACCACUACUACUGUGGUGUGAAAACAUGUUCCCACGUGAACAAUCUAUGGAAACUGCCAUGGUCAUAGAGGCUUCUUUCAGUGAGGACGAAAAGAAAAGAAAAGAAAAUUAAAAAGAAAAGAAAAACAGUUCAUCUUUUCUUUCACCUCGGAACCACCGCCCCUUUUGGUUGUUUACUUUUUUCCUAUUCACGUGUUGCUAUGCCAUGUAGAGGUUGCUGCUGCGUGUUGUUUACCAUGUUUGUUCUCUUAUGGGUUGGCUAGAUGUGAUCAGCUCUGUGCUUCUGCAGGUGCUCCUUUUUUAUGAAAACGUUGGCCCUAACCAGCCCUUCUUC
RNAcentral lists this unclassified non-coding RNA (732 nucleotides) under Hevea brasiliensis (rubber tree). The record is from RNAcentral. Lineage: Eukaryota; Viridiplantae; Streptophyta; Magnoliopsida; Malpighiales; Euphorbiaceae.